CAGUCGCCACGGUAAUACGUAGGUGGCAAGCGUUGUCCGGAAUUAUUGGGCGUAAAGGGCUCGCAGGCGGUUUCUUAAGUCUGAUGUGAAAGCCCCCGGCUCAACCGGGGAGGGUCAUUGGAAACUGGGAAACUUGAGUGCAGAAGAGGAGAGUGGAAUUCCACGUGUAGCGGUGAAAUGCGUAGAGAUGUGGAGGAACACCAGUGGCGAAGGCGACUCUCUGGUCUGUAACUGACGCUGAGGAGCGAAAGCGUGGGGAGCGAACAGGAUUAGAUACCCGCGUAGUCUCUGUCUCUUAUAA
Molecule: ribosomal RNA, 301 nt
Filed under: uncultured bacterium
Lineage: Bacteria
Description: partial 16S ribosomal RNA
Rfam family: Bacterial small subunit ribosomal RNA
Source: RNAcentral